RNAcentral lists this ribosomal RNA (536 nucleotides) under Burkholderia ambifaria. RNAcentral describes it as "bacterial SSU rRNA". It matches the Rfam family "Bacterial small subunit ribosomal RNA", at positions 462 to 998 of the family's 1533-position model. The record is from RNAcentral. Lineage: Bacteria; Pseudomonadati; Pseudomonadota; Betaproteobacteria; Burkholderiales; Burkholderiaceae.
CCGGGGGAUGACGGUACCGGAAGAAUAAGCACCGGCUAACUACGUGCCAGCAGCCGCGGUAAUACGUAGGGUGCGAGCGUUAAUCGGAAUUACUGGGCGUAAAGCGUGCGCAGGCGGUUUGCUAAGACCGAUGUGAAAUCCCCGGGCUCAACCUGGGAACUGCAUUGGUGACUGGCAGGCUAGAGUAUGGCAGAGGGGGGUAGAAUUCCACGUGUAGCAGUGAAAUGCGUAGAGAUGUGGAGGAAUACCGAUGGCGAAGGCAGCCCCCUGGGCCAAUACUGACGCUCAUGCACGAAAGCGUGGGGAGCAAACAGGAUUAGAUACCCUGGUAGUCCACGCCCUAAACGAUGUCAACUAGUUGUUGGGGAUUCAUUUCCUUAGUAACGUAGCUAACGCGUGAAGUUGACCGCCUGGGGAGUACGGUCGCAAGAUUAAAACUCAAAGGAAUUGACGGGGACCCGCACAAGCGGUGGAUGAUGUGGAUUAAUUCGAUGCAACGCGAAAAACCUUACCUACCCUUGACAUGGUCGGAAUCC